CCUACGGGCGGCAGCAGUGGGGAAUAUUGGACAAUGGGGGGAACCCUGAUCCAGCCAUGCCGCGUGUGUGAAGAAGGCCCUCGGGUUGUAAAGCACUUUCAGUGAGGAAGAACGCCUGGUGGUUAAUACCCAUCAGGAAAGACAUCACUCACAGAAGAAGCACCGGCUAACUCCGUGCCAGCAGCCGCGGUAAUACGGAGGGUGCGAGCGUUAAUCGGAAUUACUGGGCGUAAAGCGCGCGUAGGUGGCUUGAUAAGCCGGUUGUGAAAGCCCCGGGCUCAACCUGGGAACGGCAUCCGGAACUGUCAAGCUAGAGUGCAGGAGAGGAAGGUAGAAUUCCCGGUGUAGCGGUGAAAUGCGUAGAGAUCGGGAGGAAUACCAGUGGCGAAGGCGGCCUUCUGGACUGACACUGACGCUGAGGUGCGAAAGCGUGGGUAGCAAACAGGAUUAGAUACCCGGGUAGUC
This 465-nucleotide ribosomal RNA is filed under the name Vreelandella stevensii. RNAcentral's name for it is "partial 16S ribosomal RNA". It matches the Rfam family "Bacterial small subunit ribosomal RNA", at positions 338 to 795 of the family's 1533-position model. The record is from RNAcentral. Lineage: Bacteria; Pseudomonadati; Pseudomonadota; Gammaproteobacteria; Oceanospirillales; Halomonadaceae.